AUCCAGAUGACGAGUCCCAAAUAGGACGAAACACGUGUCACCGAU
RNAcentral lists this non-coding RNA (45 nucleotides) under Schistosoma curassoni. Lineage: Eukaryota; Metazoa; Platyhelminthes; Trematoda; Strigeidida; Schistosomatidae. The record is from RNAcentral.